Molecule: ribosomal RNA, 397 nt
Filed under: uncultured bacterium
Lineage: Bacteria
Description: partial 16S ribosomal RNA
Rfam family: Bacterial small subunit ribosomal RNA
Source: RNAcentral
AUACGUAGGGGGCGAGCGUUGUCCGGAAUGAUUGGGCGUAAAGGGCGCGUAGGCGGCCCGGUAAGUCUGGAGUGAAAGUCCUGUUUUUAAGAUGGGAAUUGCUUUGGGUACUGUCGGGCUUGAGUGCAGGAGAGGUAAGUGGAAUUCCCAGUGUAGCGGUGAAAUGCGUAGAGAUUGGGAGGAACACCAGUGGCGAAGACGACUUACUGGACUGUAACUGACGCUGAGGCGCGAAAGUGUGGGGAGCAAACAGGAUUAGAUACCCUGGUAGUCCACACUGUAAACGAUGAAUGCUAGGUGUAGGGGGUAUCGACCCCUUCUGUGCCGCAGUCAACACAAUAAGCAUUCCGCCUGGGGAGUACGGCCGCAAGGUUGAAACUCAAAUGAAUUGACGGGG